RNAcentral lists this long non-coding RNA (564 nucleotides) under Solanum tuberosum (potato). RNAcentral describes it as "long non-coding RNA (STUB_LNC002670)". Lineage: Eukaryota; Viridiplantae; Streptophyta; Magnoliopsida; Solanales; Solanaceae. The record is from RNAcentral.
GAAAAAUUAGGGUAGCAAGCCAAAAACCGUAGACAGGGAAGAACAAUACCUUCUUAUUCUGAUCAACCAAAGAAGGAACUCUGUUAAAUUGGAAGAGCAUCCACAAAACUUGGGCAGAAAAUCAAUUUCUCAUCUGAGCUGAGAAGCCUAAUUUCGCGACUCACGGUCAUCUAUGAAAUUAACUUCCUGGCGAGGGUAAAUUGAUAUGGAGAGAAGAAGAGAUAUGCCAAUCCAAGCUCUGACACCAUGUUACAAUACGAAAUCUAAACAGUGAAAGCACAAUCCAGUAGCCCUGGAUUGAUGAGAGAAAGAAAGGAGUUGUAUUUAUGCUUUCAGUUUUCCCCUUGCAUGCUCGAACAUUCAAUGUACUGAUGUCAUUCGACCUGCUUCUUAUUUAUGAUGCAGAUACAUGUGUUCAGGGUCAUCAACAUGUGCUUCGUUGAUACCAUUUGCACUCCAGCUAGCUUUGGUGAGCCUCCUUGCUUUCCGGAGGUCUUCACACUUAUAUUUCCUGUUUUGUUGAGUUGUCGAGGGUCCUGUCCCGACAUCUAUCUUAGUAUUUAG